RNAcentral lists this ribosomal RNA (229 nucleotides) under uncultured bacterium. RNAcentral's name for it is "partial 16S ribosomal RNA". It matches the Rfam family "Bacterial small subunit ribosomal RNA", at positions 568 to 796 of the family's 1533-position model. The record is from RNAcentral.
UGCGUAGGCGGAAAAUUAAGUCAGUGAUGAAAUCCUGCAGCUCAACUGUAGAUCUGUCAUUGAUACUGAUUUUCUUGAAUUUAGUUGAGGUAGGCGGAAUGUGUAAUGUAGCGGUGAAAUGCUUAGAUAUUACACAGAACACCGAUUGCGAAGGCAGCUUACUAAGCUAACAUUGACGCUGAGGCACGAAAGCGUGGGGAGCGAACAGGAUUAGAUACCCUGGUAGUCC